RNAcentral lists this unclassified non-coding RNA (391 nucleotides) under soil metagenome. Its description in RNAcentral is "partial contains 5.8S ribosomal RNA, internal transcribed spacer 2, and large subunit ribosomal RNA". The stretch from base 2 to 123 matches the Rfam family "5.8S ribosomal RNA", at positions 35 to 154 of the family's 154-position model. The record is from RNAcentral.
GGAUGAAGAACGUAGCGAAAUGCGAUACUUGGUGUGAAUUGCAGAAUCCCGCGAAUCAUCGAGUUUUUGAACGCAAGUUGCGCCCGAAGCCAUUCGGCCGAGGGCACGUCUGCCUGGGUGUCACGCAUCGUUGCCCCCCCAAACUCCGGUUCGAGCGGGGCGGAAGUUGGCCUCCCGUGCGUGCCUGCGCGCGCGGUUAGCCCAAAAGCGAGUCCUCGGCGACGAGCGCCACGACAAUCGGUGGUUUUUUUACCCUCGUUCCUCGUCGUGCGUGCCCCGUCGCCCGAACGCGCUCUUGCGACCCUUACGCGUCGCCUCGGCGGCGCUCCCAACGCGACCCCAGGUCAGGCGGGACUACCCGCUGAGUUUAAGCAUAUCAAUAAGCGGAGGA